This 1954-nucleotide long non-coding RNA is filed under the name Lactuca sativa (garden lettuce). RNAcentral describes it as "long non-coding RNA (LSAT_LNC001281)". The record is from RNAcentral. Lineage: Eukaryota; Viridiplantae; Streptophyta; Magnoliopsida; Asterales; Asteraceae.
CCAACAUUUCUCAAAAAUGGAAUUCUUUCCUUGUCCUUCGUAUCUUCCCCUAUUAUGUAGCUUAUAUUGAACUGGUAUUCUUCAAAACUGAACUACUUCCCAUGUAGUUCGCCCAAAUUCAGGUUCAAAAGGCUCACUCGCAUCCUCCAUUCCCAUAUAUCUCCCCUACACUUAUCUGAUCUCCAUCUCCACCCGGUUUCUGCACUCACACCACUUCUCUAUAGAAGAACCCCACCAUAAUAUGUCUCUAUUCAUCUCUAAACCCUUAUCCUACAACCACUCUCUGCCUAAUCGCUACCACCCACCCAAUUUCCUCUCUUCGGAAUUAAUGACCUAGCCUCAUCUCUCCACCUUCAACCACUACUACAAUUACCAGACUUCAAUAGCGAUCUGUUUCUUGGGGAUUCGGAUCUAAAUCUCAGCUGGUGAUAUGUUUCUUGGGUUUUCUUCUCAAGAAUCUUCAAAGAAACAGACCAGGUAAUUUGUGUUGUUCUUUUCAUUUCCUCUGUAUAAAAUACUUAAAAAAACCCAUUGUGUGGCGAUUGUCGGUGUCAAUUACUGUGUGAUUACAGCCGAUACUUGAAUGUCCAUUGGCUAUAGUACGAGUUGUUUGAACCGAUUCCAUCUCUAUCUCUCUUUAUUUAUGUUUAUGUUUGCAAAAAACAGAAUCAAACAUAUUUGAUUUCUGAUUUCACGAGCACACCACUACAACCAUUAGCGACAUUCACCACCGCCGUUUACUGCCUUCCUUCUCUCUUUAUCUCAGUAUCUGAUCAAGAAACCUGAAAUAUUUGUAAAUUCUUAGAUUCAUCCUCAUUUUUUGUCUUGUCUCUAUUUAACCACACUCCUAGCAUCGAUUGUGUGGUGACUUUUUCUGAAGGAACAACACCAAUAGCUAGCUAAAGACUGUAGGAGCUGUUGGUUUUGGAUCCACAAUGUUACAAAAUUAACAUCAUGUUUUUCAUUCAGCUAAAGUUGGAUACAGGAUGCUAGGAACAGAGGGUCCAAUGUUAUGGGUGGUUUACCUGGGUUUGGUUUCUUUAUUUCUUUUUAUAUGUGGGUUCUUAUUUUUUUUUCCUUUGAUUUUACCCAAUAUUUUUCUAAUAUAUGUUGUUAUUUUAUCUUUAAAAUGUUAGUUGAUCAGGUGAUUCAAAGCUUUCUUUGGUUGUCUCAUUUUUUGUUAAACCAAUGGACAAAGCCAGGUUUUAGAUUUCUUCAAGCAAGCAAAAAAAAAAAAAGGCUGAAAUAUGGUAUUAAUUAUGUGAUUCAAGCAUUUGUUGGUUCUUUCAUGAUUUUUUACUAACAAAUCUGCAUAAGGUCAUAAGGUCAUUAUUUCCAUCCUAAUUUUCCCCUUUCAUAAAAAUAUUUAUUAUUUCACUAUUUCAAGCUAAAAACGUGAUUUUUAUUGUUCUCUUCUGUUAUUUGUUUAGUAGUUGAGAAAAUAUUGCUGACACGGAAGACGAGGAAGAGAUUGUGAGACACAAGGUGAUAUUAUUGAGAACUUGCUCUUGAAGUAUAUAUUAUAAUUUUUAGUAAUAAUGUUCUAAAAUCGAUUCAUAUUUAUAGGAACAAAGGAAUGACACAUAUACAAAGGAAGCUCCUGUUCAUGCUUCAAAACUUUUACAGCUUAUGUUUAUUCUCUUUUCCUUACUUCAGCUUGCACAAAGAUAAAACUAAAGAUAAUGCAAUUUUUAAUACUUAUUACUUAUUUCAAAAUGAAAAAUUUAAUGUUUAGCUACGGUUUUUUUUUAAUUAUUAGUAUUUUAUCCUUUGUAAUGGUUAAUUAGACUGAUCUUUUAGUCUAUACCUAUGAAAAGCGGUUAGUUAUUAUAUUUGAAUUUAUGUUUAUCCUUUGUAACGGUCAAUAAAAAUGGAUUGAUAGAUAAUAUAUUAUGUGUUUUUAUUCUUAAUACAUGAUGCAUUUAUGUUUACUUAAGGAAUGCGUUAAUUUUUU